CUGGUCUAUUUUGGGUCAUUUCACUUAUUUUGGUUAUUUUACAAACAAAAAACAAACAAACCUGGUUUUCUUUCUCAAUAAGGUCAUUUCAUUUGGUAUUUCUGGUCUAUUUUGGGUCAUUUCACUUAUUUUGGUUAUUUUACAAACAAAAAACAAACAAACCUGGUUUUCUUUCUCAAUAAGGUCAUUUCAUUUGGUAUUUCUGGUCUAUUUUGGGUCAUUUCACUUAUUUUGGUUAUUUUACAAACAAACAAACAAACAAACAAACAAACUUGGUUUUCUUUCUACUUGAGGUCAUUUCUUUGGUAUUUCUGGUCUAUUUUGGGUCAUUUCACUUAUUUUGGUUAUUUUACAAACAAACAAACCUGGUUUUCUUUCUCAAUAAGGUCAUUUCAUUUGGUAUUUCUGGUCUAUUUUGGGUCAUUUCACUUAUUUUGGUUAUUUUACAAACAAAAAACAAACAAACCUGGUUUUCUUUCUCAAUAAGGUCAUUUCAUUUGGUAUUUCUGGUCUAUUUUGGGUCAUUUCACUUAUUUUGGUUAUUUUACAAACAAAAAACAAACAAACCUGGUUUUCUUUCUCAAUAAGGUCAUUUCAUUUGGUAUUUCUGGUCUAUUUUGGGUCAUUUCACUUAUUUUGGUUAUUUUACAAACAAAAAACAAACAAACCUGGUUUUCUUUCUCAAUAAGGUCAUUUCAUUUGGUAUUUCUGGUCUAUUUUGGGUCAUUUCACUGAAUUUGGUUAUUUUACAA
Molecule: non-coding RNA, 752 nt
Organism: Danio rerio (zebrafish)
Lineage: Eukaryota; Metazoa; Chordata; Actinopteri; Cypriniformes; Danionidae
Source: RefSeq, a predicted model, not a curated record